RNAcentral lists this ribosomal RNA (512 nucleotides) under uncultured soil bacterium. RNAcentral's name for it is "bacterial SSU rRNA". It matches the Rfam family "Bacterial small subunit ribosomal RNA", at positions 26 to 520 of the family's 1533-position model. The record is from RNAcentral.
AGGAUGAACGCUGGCGGCGUGCCUAAUACAUGCAAGUCGAGCGAACAGACGAGGAGCUUGCUCCUCUGACGUUAGCGGCGGACGGGUGAGUAACACGUGGAUAACCUACCUAUAAGACUGGGAUAACUUCGGGAAACCGGAGCUAAUACCGGAUAAUAUAUUGAACCGCAUGGUUCAAUAGUGAAAGACGGUUUUGCUGUCACUUAUAGAUGGAUCCGCGCCGCAUUAGCUAGUUGGUAAGGUAACGGCUUACCAAGGCAACGAUGCGUAGCCGACCUGAGAGGGUGAUCGGCCACACUGGAACUGAGACACGGUCCAGACUCCUACGGGAGCAGCAGUAGGGAAUCUUCGCAAUGGGCAAAGCCUGACGGAGCAACGCCGCGUGAGUGAUGAAGGUCUUCGGAUCGUAAAACUCUAGUUAAUUAGGAAGAAACAAAUGUAGUAAAGUAAACUAAUGCACGUCUUAGAACGGUACCUAAAUACAAGAAAACGCCAACGGCUAAACUACGUAG